This 403-nucleotide ribosomal RNA is filed under the name uncultured bacterium. RNAcentral describes it as "partial 16S ribosomal RNA". It matches the Rfam family "Bacterial small subunit ribosomal RNA", at positions 28 to 526 of the family's 1533-position model. The record is from RNAcentral.
GACGAACGCUGGCGGCGUGCCUAAUACAUGCAAGUCGAACGCAGUGGGGACGGGUGCGUAACACGUGGGUAACCUCCCAUCAGAGGGGAUAACACUUGGAAACAGCUGCUAAACCGAUACUGAUUGAUGGACCCGCGGUGCAUUAGCUAGUUGGUGAGGUAACGGCUCACCAAGGCCACGAUGCAUAGCCGAGCUGAGAGGGUGAUCGGCCACACUGGGACUGAGACACGGCCCAGACUCCUACGGGAGGCAGCAGUAGGGAAUCGUCGGCAAUGGACGAAAGUCUGACCGAGCAACGCCGCGUGAGUGAAGAAGGUUUUCGGAUUGUAAAACUCUGUUGGUAGAGAAGCGGUAUCUAAACAGAAAGCCACGGCUAACUACGUGCCAGCAGCCGCGGUAAUAC